Molecule: unclassified non-coding RNA, 159 nt
Filed under: soil metagenome
Description: partial internal transcribed spacer 1
Source: RNAcentral
ACGAGUUUUAAUUGUUAGGUUAGAGUUGAGCUGGUUAACCUAAUUAAUAUGUGCUUACUCUAAUCGAAACAAGUCCACUCAUUACUUGACACUUGUGAACUUAUUCAUUACAAACAUUAUUAUUUGUUAUUGGAACGUUUGAUUAUUAAAAAGUUAAUA